GAUGAACGCUGGCGGCGCGCCUAACACAUGCAAGUCGAACGGCACCCACCCUCGGGUGGAAGCGAGUGGCGAACGGCUGAGUAACACGUGGAGAACCCGCCCCCUCCUCCGGGAUAGCCUCGGGAAACCGUGGGUAAUACCGGAUGACCCCGCAGGGCCGCAUGGCCCCGCGGGCAAAGCCCAGACGGGAGGGGAUGGCUCCGCGGCCCAUCAGGUAGACGGCGGGGUGACGGCCCACCGUGCCGACGACGGGUAGCCGGGUUGAGAGACCGACCGGCCAGAUUGGGACUGAGACACGGCCCAGACUCCUACGGGAGGCAGCAGUGGGGAAUCUUGCGCAAUGGGGGGAACCCUGACGCAGCGACGCCGCGUGCGGGACGAAGGCCCUCGGGUCGUAAACCGCUUUCAGCAGGGAUGAGACAAGACGGUACCUGCAGAAGAGCCC
Molecule: ribosomal RNA, 445 nt
Filed under: uncultured bacterium
Lineage: Bacteria
Description: bacterial SSU rRNA
Rfam family: Bacterial small subunit ribosomal RNA
Source: RNAcentral